AGCGGGGUAGAGCAGACAGGAGUGCUCGAUGGGCUCAUAACCCAUAGGUCGGCGGUUCAAAUCCUCCCCCCGCUA
RNAcentral lists this transfer RNA (75 nucleotides) under Candidatus Woesearchaeota archaeon CG07_land_8_20_14_0_80_44_23. RNAcentral describes it as "tRNA-Met". It matches the Rfam family "tRNA". Rfam says of the family: Transfer RNA (tRNA) molecules are approximately 80 nucleotides in length. Their secondary structure includes four short double-helical elements and three loops (D, anti-codon, and T loops). Further hydrogen bonds mediate the characteristic L-shaped molecular structure. tRNAs have two regions of fundamental functional importance: the anti-codon, which is responsible for specific mRNA codon recognition, and the 3' end, to which the tRNAs corresponding amino acid is attached (by aminoacyl-tRNA synthetases). tRNAs cope with the degeneracy of the genetic code in two manners: having more than one tRNA (with a specific anti-codon) for a particular amino acid; and 'wobble' base-pairing, i.e. permitting non-standard base-pairing at the 3rd anti-codon position. RNAcentral also lists the same sequence under 2 other names. Lineage: Archaea; Nanobdellati; Candidatus Woesearchaeota. The record is from RNAcentral.